This 662-nucleotide long non-coding RNA is filed under the name Struthio camelus australis. RNAcentral's name for it is "lncRNA (ENSSCUG00000007388.1)". Lineage: Eukaryota; Metazoa; Chordata; Aves; Struthioniformes; Struthionidae. The record is from RNAcentral.
GGAGUUGGGAGACUUGGGCUUAUUAUGUACCCAUAGGUGCAUAAUAUUGCAUGGCACAGCUUCUCAGCAUAAAGCCCUGGUAAUGUGUUAUUUCUAUCCAACAGUAAUUUCCAUGGUUAUUUUAUUUUUUUAAUCCUGUCUACCUAUGUUUUUUUACAGUGCCCAGUCCUUUAACACUGGGACGAGAACAUAAAACAGCUGUAUUGGCCAGCUGUGGGUGCCUAUGGAUGAGUAUCAGAAACUGGUGAGCUUGCAGUGAUAUAUUCCUGGUAUACCAUUCCAGCAUCCGCCGAUCUGUAGUUCAAGCACUUCCUGAGCUGGAGAAAAAGAAUUCUGGUUUAAAACAUAACGUGCUGACAGCAGCUGAAAUCUCUCCAAUGACCUAUCUAGUCUGGACUAUCCGGUGUAUCUUCUGCAUAAUUAUCUAUACUGGGAUCUUCUGGGAACAGGUCUUGCUCCUUCCUGCACAACCGUAAAUCAACUGCCAGCCCUGGGUUUUAUCUCUGGGCCCCUAUUGCCGGAGAGACCUUGCUUCUUGUUGUAUAGCUUUGGUGUUUGGCUCUUUGGUUGUGGAUUUCUCUCGUGCUGUCUCUGUAAUCGCAGGCAUGCAGGCAACGCAUGUCUGCGAGAGCUCACUGCUAAAGCCAGUAAUGAGAAGCAGG